RNAcentral lists this long non-coding RNA (1893 nucleotides) under Paramuricea clavata. Lineage: Eukaryota; Metazoa; Cnidaria; Anthozoa; Malacalcyonacea; Plexauridae. The record is from RNAcentral.
CCGAAUUAUUCUGAACUAUUUUACAAAAAGUCUUUAAAUUAUAACGUCAAUAUUUAUCUGUAGGCUUUUUUCUUCAUUUCAUUAUAGACGCCUAGAAAUCAGGCAAGUUCUGGCAAGAAGAAGAAAGUUCGCAUAGAACUAUCCAAGAAUACAAGCCACUCGACUCGAGGUAUAGUACUUUUCUCUUGAAAUUUUUGACUCCGAACGCUAUAACCUGGUGCUGGUGCAAAGUUUCAUGAAAGGAUUCAAAGCUUUGCAGUAUCGUAAUAACUAGCAAAAAUUUAAACGAGUCGGUCAUAUAUAAUCAUAUAAUAACUCGCCUCGGUGGCUCGUGAGCCACUUUUUUGUUCUUCCCAUAUUAUGACGUCAUACUGUGUAUCUAUAACUGAACAGACAACGGCAAAAUCUUAUCUAUUUCUUAACUAGGUAGAAGGUGUAACCUUCCAGCGUUUUCGUAAUCAAUUUCUCCAUUUAAACGAAUAUAACUGGAACGCUACCCUCCAACCGGAAAUUUGAAGCCAAACUUUAAGGCCAGUCCCAGUCUUUUCACGCAUGCGAGGAGUCCUCAAUCAGUCAAUCAUGAUGUAAACACGCGGGUCAAGAUUUGGCUUCGAGAAAAAGAUAGGCAGUUUAUUUGAGGGUAGAGUUCCAGUUAUAUUCAUUUCAAUGCCUUUCUCACACCAUGCGACCAGGCCUUGUCCGCCGUUUUUGAGUGGCAAACUGAACGGGGAAAGUGGAUUGCAAUGAAAACACAGCACUAUUUUGUUUAUAUAAGUACUACAUUUACUUUACUAAAUCACUCUUUCGUUUGUUGCCAUCUACUUCCCCGUGCGGUUUUACCUCCUCCGGACAAGGCCUGCUCGCGCAGCGUACGAAAGUGUAAUUACGCCAAAUAGUUUCCAAGUAGGUGAACUGAUGUGAAGCGUUCCUCUUUUCAGUUAGAAAGUCAUUUAGAAUUUUCUAAUUACCUUCGCAAAUCCCAUGAGGGAAUUUACAAUAUUUUUUUAUAAUCAAAAUUUAUAUACAUAACGUAUUGCUUUGCAUGCAUAUAUAAAAUAGUUGAAUCAAAAUCCUAUUUAACAAAUCCUUAUUUCCAGGCUGCCAAUUUUCCUGGCGACAAGUAACUGUAUGAUUGGUACUGCUGCGUCUAAUUUUGGACUAUAUAAAUAUUUUUUGAAAGUUCCCGUUUGACCAAUUCCCAUAGUUUUUAACAACGAUUCACAUUGCAUAAUUUAAUUGGCUUAUAGGAACAUUUCAAAUUCCCUCGAGGGAUUUGCAAAGAGUUUUCAAAAUUGCAAAGGUAAUUAGGAAAAUUCCAAAUGAGUUAGAACCUCAAAAGAGGAACGCUUCACGUAUUCACGUAGUUCACCUGCAUGUAAUAGGUUUAUAUUCUUCAUCGCUAUUUCCUGAUGUACUCCCCUUCCAUAUAUUCAACUCCUAACUAAUCUUCACAUAUGAUACAUUUUGCAAGUAAAAACGUAUAGACACAAAUGAGAUGAGGUAGUCGCGCAUUCCCCCUUGUAAAUGGUUACAUUACCAGCUCAAUGACAAAUCCUCAAUAUACUAUAAAUAUAAUAAACUCUGCAGAUUACAGACAAAUUCUCAAGUGUAGUCCUGUUGUUCCAUUUGAUGCAAACAAGAAACCAGUUCAAAGUUCCUUGAAAACCCCACCAACAUCAGCAAGUAAGCCAACUAUACUGCAAGCUCACCACAACCACGGAAGCGACCUGCUGCAGUGGACUUCUUUUAACAGUAUUAAAGAAUCUUUGUAAAGAUUUUUAUCGUAUAACUAAAUAUUCAUGUUCUAAUAUUCAUAUCCUGUUUUAACAUUGCAUGACAAAUAUAUAUUGCUAUAUCCUAAUCCCUAAAGCGUUUUUUACGCGUGUCUUCAGC